Molecule: long non-coding RNA, 346 nt
Organism: Brienomyrus brachyistius
Lineage: Eukaryota; Metazoa; Chordata; Actinopteri; Osteoglossiformes; Mormyridae
Exons: 2
Source: RefSeq, a predicted model, not a curated record
UACAAGAGAGAGAGACUGCGCUGACCGGUCAAGAGAAAAUCUACAAGAGACCUGAAUCAGCAGUGUUAUAAAGCACAUAGCCAACGCUAAUUAAUAAAGAAUUUAAGCAUAAUAGCCCAGACGUACCAUGGCCUAUAGCUGGUAGAAACGGAGCUAUCCUACGGCCUACAAGAUAAAAGCAUAUGGCACCAAAUUGGAAUCAGUAGUCUUUAAAAGAAUAAAUGGACUAGCAACUGUCUCUGGGGGAGCAGCCCCGGUUAGGUACUAUUAAGCAGCAUUUAGUGACAUGCAUCAAAACACAUUUUUUAAAACUUUGACAGAAUAAAGUCUUAGUUAUUUUAAUAAA